This is a long non-coding RNA of Ctenopharyngodon idella (grass carp), 1189 nucleotides long. RefSeq lists it as uncharacterized. The transcript has 3 exons. The record is from RefSeq and is a predicted model, not a curated record. NCBI's taxonomy places the organism in Eukaryota, Metazoa, Chordata, Actinopteri, Cypriniformes, Xenocyprididae.
GGAAGUGUGAGUAAGAUACCUGGACCCGACUUCCUGGCACGUUGUUUCCGGGUGGAUUCGGCACGGAGUACGAGACGAUCUAUACACAAGUUUCAGAGCUUUUUCUCGAGAAGUCAGUUCAGAGAAGGAACAAGAAGCCUACAAAUGUUCUAGUUUUUCAUGAUUCCCUUCAGCUCACUGCGGAUCUGAACACAGUGAAUGAACACCUCCAUCUGUCUGAGAUGAACACAGUGAUUACUAACACUGACAGAGAGCGUCAGUCGUAUCCUGAUCAUCCAGACAGAUUUGAUGGUGUGUUGAAUCCUCAGGUGUUGUGUAGAGAGAGUGUGAGUGAUCAACGCUGUUACUGGAAGAUUGAGUGAAGUGGAUGUAUUGUGCCUAUAUCAGUGUCAUAUAAGAGCAUCAGCAGGAAGGGAGAGGGUGAUGAGUGUCGGUUUGGAUAUAAUGGUCAGUCCUGGAGUUUGACCUGCGCUCCCUACAGUUACUCAUUCAGACACAAUAACAUAAAGACUGAUCUCCCUGUAAAGCCCAUCAUCAGCAGGAGAACAGGAGUGAAUGAGGAGAAUUACUAUAGAGUAGGAGUGUAUGUGGAUCACAGUGCAGGAACUCUGCAUGUCCUUCUACAGCGUCUCUGGAGACAUAAUGAUCCUCAUCCACACAGUCCAGACCACAUUCACUCAACCGCUCUAUCCUGGGUUUAGGGUUUAUGGAUCAACAGUGAAACUGUGUUGAUGAAUCCGAAUAGACUGUAGAGAUUCUACCCAUAAUGCUUUGAGCUCAUGAUAAAUCAGUGACUGUGAGAUGUUACAGUGUCUCUUAUUUUCUCUUCAUUAUAUUGAUUACUACAGUUGAACAUCUGUCAGUGAAAUAAUGUCAGAAUAAAUGACAAAUCCUCAUAUGGAUCAGUGUGUGUGUGUGUGUGUGUGUGUGUGUGUGCUUUUCUCAAGCUCUGUUUGUGGUGAUGGAAAUCAGUUUUUAUUGUAGUGUCACAUCAAUCAUUUAUAAUGUAUGUAGAAUUGAGAUUAGUUGAACAUAUUUUAAUCCAGGUGUAUUUUAGGGGUUCAAGCGCUGAAGCUGCUGCAUCAUUAUUGUGUUUGUACUGUUUAUCAAUUAUUGUUUUUCUGCUCUAAACAUGUCUGGGUGUCAGAGACUGUACGUCAUAGAGGAAAUAAUAAAAACUUCUUCUAGA